This is a long non-coding RNA of Rosa rugosa (rugosa rose), 524 nucleotides long. RefSeq lists it as uncharacterized. NCBI's taxonomy places the organism in Eukaryota, Viridiplantae, Streptophyta, Magnoliopsida, Rosales, Rosaceae. The record is from RefSeq and is a predicted model, not a curated record. The transcript has 2 exons.
GCAAAAACAAAAUAAAACUUUCUAGUUCAGAGAGGAAAAAAAAGAUUAGGAGAAUGUCUAAAGCUGAUACCAAUGCAUCCAUGGUUAUGAACUUGACAGUUCUGAUGGUGUCUUUUCUCCUUCUAGUCUCUUUGGCUGAAAGCCAAUUUUUCGGAAAUGGGAUCUUGACACCUCCCAGUCCCAUAGCUCCGCCUCCCAGCUCUCCCUCCCCUCCCACCCUAGAAUGUGAUUCAGUGUAUGGUGUAAUAAGUGGAGACACAUGCUUUGAAGUGGCUAAGACGUUCAAACUCACUACUGCAUUGUUUGAAACACUCAACCCCAAUCUCAAUUGCUCAGCUCUCUUCAUAGGUCAAUGGCUUUGCCUUGAUGGAAAAUUAACUUAAGCUGCUGUUAUUUUUACUUUUUUCUGUUGUUGAGAAUGAAUGCUGCUGUAAAUUGAUCCUCAAAACAACUGGGAAAUAAACUAUGAAUAAAAAUGAACUAAUGGCAGUCCAAAUUAAUCAUGGGUUCAUACUCAUUUUCAA